This is a long non-coding RNA of Lutra lutra (Eurasian river otter), 189 nucleotides long. RefSeq lists it as uncharacterized. Lineage: Eukaryota; Metazoa; Chordata; Mammalia; Carnivora; Mustelidae. The transcript has 4 exons. The record is from RefSeq and is a predicted model, not a curated record.
UGUAUGUAUGAUGACUUCAGUGUGGAAGAUAAGUUUAAUAUUUGUAAAAACUGCUUUCAAAAAAAAUCUCCCCUAGCAUUUGUUAGGCCAUACUUGUAAUUAAUUUCAGUUCUAUGUAUAUGAAACAGCUCAGACUGAAUGCUAGGUGUAUGUAUUGACUUCAGUGGGGAAGAUAAGUUUAACAUUUGU